UCUGGGCGUAAGCGCGCGUAGGCGGCUUUGUCACAUCGCAUGUGAAAUCCCCGCGGCUCAACCUGGGAACUGCCUUUGUAACUGCUCUGGCUUGAGUGCGGGAAGAGGGGUGAUGGAAUUCCGCGGUGUAGCAGUGAAAUGCGUAGAUAUUCGGAGGAACACCGAUGGCGAAGGCAGCCCCCUGGGCCAUUACUGACGCUGAUGCACGAAAGCGUGGGGAGCAAACCGGAUUAGAUACCCUGGUAGUCCACGCCCUAAACGAUGCGCACUAGGUGUCGGGGAUUUUUUUUCUCAGAAGGCAACGUAACUCGCGCUUUUUAUCCCCCGGGGGGUCCGGACGCUCGAUUUC
RNAcentral lists this ribosomal RNA (349 nucleotides) under uncultured bacterium. RNAcentral's name for it is "partial 16S ribosomal RNA". It matches the Rfam family "Bacterial small subunit ribosomal RNA", at positions 553 to 897 of the family's 1533-position model. The record is from RNAcentral.